AACCCAGCUGGCCGCUGGAUAGAGUGUUGGAUUCCGAUUCCAAAAGGUCACAGGUUCGAAUCCUGUCGGGUGCGCCA
RNAcentral lists this transfer RNA (77 nucleotides) under Rhizobium leguminosarum. RNAcentral's name for it is "tRNA-Arg". It matches the Rfam family "tRNA", at positions 9 to 71 of the family's 71-position model. Rfam says of the family: Transfer RNA (tRNA) molecules are approximately 80 nucleotides in length. Their secondary structure includes four short double-helical elements and three loops (D, anti-codon, and T loops). Further hydrogen bonds mediate the characteristic L-shaped molecular structure. tRNAs have two regions of fundamental functional importance: the anti-codon, which is responsible for specific mRNA codon recognition, and the 3' end, to which the tRNAs corresponding amino acid is attached (by aminoacyl-tRNA synthetases). tRNAs cope with the degeneracy of the genetic code in two manners: having more than one tRNA (with a specific anti-codon) for a particular amino acid; and 'wobble' base-pairing, i.e. permitting non-standard base-pairing at the 3rd anti-codon position. Lineage: Bacteria; Pseudomonadati; Pseudomonadota; Alphaproteobacteria; Hyphomicrobiales; Rhizobiaceae. RNAcentral also lists the same sequence under 1 other name. The record is from RNAcentral.